Pangasianodon gigas (Mekong giant catfish) is the source of this 72-nucleotide non-coding RNA. Lineage: Eukaryota; Metazoa; Chordata; Actinopteri; Siluriformes; Pangasiidae. The record is from the annotation of a GenBank genome assembly.
GGUUCUAUGGUGUAAUGGUUGGCACUCUGGACUUUGAAUCCCAUGAUCUCUGUUCAAAUCUCAGUGGAACCU